CCUACGGGUGGCAGCAGUGGGGAAUAUUGGGCAAUGGGCGCAAGCCUGACCCAGCAACGCCGCGUGAAGGAAGAAGGCUUUCGGGUUGUACACUUCUUUUGUCAGGGACGAAGCAAGUGACGGUACCUGACUAAUAAGCCACGGCUAACUACGUGCCAGCAGCAGCGGUAAUACGUAGGUGGAAGGCGUUAUCCGGCUUUACUGGGUGUAAAGGGCGUGUAGGCGGGACUGCAAGUCAGAUGUGAAAACCACGGGCUUAACCGGUGGACUGCAUUUGAAACUGUAGUUCUUGAGUACUGGAGAGGCAGGUGGAAUUCCUAGUGUAGCGGUGAAAUGCGUAGAUAUUAGGAGGAACACCAGUGGCGAAGGCGGUCUGCUGGACAGCAACUGACGCUGAGGCGCGAAAGCGUGGGGAGCAAACAGGAUUAGAUACCCGAGUAGUC
Molecule: ribosomal RNA, 443 nt
Filed under: uncultured bacterium
Lineage: Bacteria
Description: partial 16S ribosomal RNA
Rfam family: Bacterial small subunit ribosomal RNA
Source: RNAcentral